GAUUAACGCUGGCGGCAUGCCUAAUACAUGCAAGUCGAACGGAAGCAGCAAUGCUUUAGUGGCGAACGGGUGAGUAACACGUAGGGAACCUACCUAUACGACGAGGAUAACUACUGGAAACGGUAGCUAAAACUGGAUAGGAUCAAUUGAGGCAUCUUGAUUGAUUUAAAGAUCCUUCGGGAUUACGUAGAGAUGGCCCUGCGGCGCAUUAGCUAGUUGGUGAGGUAACGGCCCACCAAGGCGACGAUGCGUAGCUGAGCUGAGAGGCUAAACAGCCACACUGGGACUGAGACACGGCCCAGACUCCUACGGGAGGCAGCAGUAGGGAAUUUUCGGCAAUGGGGGAAACCCUGACCGAGCAAUGCCGCGUGAACGAUGAAGGUCUUCGGAUUGUAAAGUUCUGUGAUUGGGGAAGAAUGGUAUUCUUAGGGAAUGAGGAGUACAUGACGGUACCCGAUUAGAAAGCCCCGGCUAACUAUGUGCCAGCAGCCGCGGUAAA
RNAcentral lists this ribosomal RNA (499 nucleotides) under uncultured bacterium. Its description in RNAcentral is "bacterial SSU rRNA". It matches the Rfam family "Bacterial small subunit ribosomal RNA", at positions 28 to 524 of the family's 1533-position model. The record is from RNAcentral.